Molecule: unclassified non-coding RNA, 154 nt
Filed under: Brucella sp. 191011898
Lineage: Bacteria; Pseudomonadati; Pseudomonadota; Alphaproteobacteria; Hyphomicrobiales; Brucellaceae
Description: BASRCI153
Source: RNAcentral
GCGCUUUCGAGCUAAAAGUACGAAGUGCCGAUGCGGGGAAUCAGUCCACUGGACUGAUUUCCGCUUCUGCUUUGAUGUGUUGAAUGCAGACAAGCCCUAAAACACCGGCGGGAGCGGCAUAUGAAUAAGGUCGCUCCGGUUCAUUUUUAGAAUG